GAUAAAAUGGCUGAAUAUAGGCAAUAAACUGUAAAUUUAUAAAUGAAAAUUAAUAUAUUUUCUUUUAUCA
This 70-nucleotide transfer RNA is filed under the name Labriocimbex sinicus. Its description in RNAcentral is "tRNA-Tyr". It matches the Rfam family "tRNA". From Rfam's summary of the family: Transfer RNA (tRNA) molecules are approximately 80 nucleotides in length. Their secondary structure includes four short double-helical elements and three loops (D, anti-codon, and T loops). The record is from RNAcentral. Lineage: Eukaryota; Metazoa; Arthropoda; Insecta; Hymenoptera; Cimbicidae.